This 742-nucleotide ribosomal RNA is filed under the name Escherichia coli. RNAcentral's name for it is "bacterial SSU rRNA". It matches the Rfam family "Bacterial small subunit ribosomal RNA", at positions 790 to 1532 of the family's 1533-position model. The record is from RNAcentral. Lineage: Bacteria; Pseudomonadati; Pseudomonadota; Gammaproteobacteria; Enterobacterales; Enterobacteriaceae.
GUAGUCCACGCCGUAAACGAUGUCGACUUGGAGGUUGUGCCCUUGAGGCGUGGCUUCCGGAGCUAACGCGUUAAGUCGACCGCCUGGGGAGUACGGCCGCAAGGUUAAAACUCAAAUGAAUUGACGGGGGCCCGCACAAGCGGUGGAGCAUGUGGUUUAAUUCGAUGCAACGCGAAGAACCUUACCUGGUCUUGACAUCCACAGAACUUUCCAGAGAUGGAUUGGUGCCUUCGGGAACUGUGAGACAGGUGCUGCAUGGCUGUCGUCAGCUCGUGUUGUGAAAUGUUGGGUUAAGUCCCGCAACGAGCGCAACCCUUAUCCUUUGUUGCCAGCGGUCCGGCCGGGAACUCAAAGGAGACUGCCAGUGAUAAACUGGAGGAAGGUGGGGAUGACGUCAAGUCAUCAUGGCCCUUACGACCAGGGCUACACACGUGCUACAAUGGCGCAUACAAAGAGAAGCGACCUCGCGAGAGCAAGCGGACCUCAUAAAGUGCGUCGUAGUCCGGAUUGGAGUCUGCAACUCGACUCCAUGAAGUCGGAAUCGCUAGUAAUCGUGGAUCAGAAUGCCACGGUGAAUACGUUCCCGGGCCUUGUACACACCGCCCGUCACACCAUGGGAGUGGGUUGCAAAAGAAGUAGGUAGCUUAACCUUCGGGAGGGCGCUUACCACUUUGUGAUUCAUGACUGGGGUGAAGUCGUAACAAGGUAACCGUAGGGGAACCUGCGGUUGGAUCACCUCCUU